Molecule: ribosomal RNA, 468 nt
Filed under: uncultured bacterium
Lineage: Bacteria
Description: partial 16S ribosomal RNA
Rfam family: Bacterial small subunit ribosomal RNA
Source: RNAcentral
GACGAACGCUGGCGGCGUGCUUAACACAUGCAAGUCGAACGGAAAGGCCCUGCUUUUGUGGGGUGCUCGAGUGGCGAACGGGUGAGUAACACGUGAGUAACCUGCCCUUGACUUUGGGAUAACUUCAGGAAACUGGGGCUAAUACCGGAUAGGAGCUCCUGCUGCAUGGUGGGGGUUGGAAAGUUUCGGCGGUUGGGGAUGGACUUGCGGCUUAUCAGCUUGUUGGUGGGGUAGUGGCUUACCAAGGCUUUGACGGGUAGCCGGCCUGAGAGGGUGGCCGGCCACAUUGGGACUGAGAUACGGCCCAGACUCCUACGGGAGGCAGCAGUGGGGAAUAUUGCACAAUGGGCGGAAGCCUGAUGCAGCAACGCCGCGUGCGGGAUGACGGCCUUCGGGUUGUAAACCGCUUUCGCCUGUGACGAAGCGUGAGUGACGGUAAUGGGUAAAGAAGCACCGGCUAACUACGUG